UGUGUGUGUGUGUGUGUGUGUGUGUAUGUAUAUGUGUAUAUAUACAUAUAUAUGUAUACACACACACACACACACACACU
This 80-nucleotide microRNA precursor is filed under the name Pelobates cultripes (western spadefoot toad). The record is from RNAcentral. Lineage: Eukaryota; Metazoa; Chordata; Amphibia; Anura; Pelobatidae.